This 500-nucleotide ribosomal RNA is filed under the name uncultured Myrionecta. RNAcentral's name for it is "SSU rRNA". It matches the Rfam family "Eukaryotic small subunit ribosomal RNA", at positions 33 to 600 of the family's 1831-position model. The record is from RNAcentral. Lineage: Eukaryota; Ciliophora; Litostomatea; Cyclotrichida; Mesodiniidae.
AAUGUCUAAGAUAGCCAUGCACGUCUAGUACAAACUAAAUGAUGGUGAAACUGCAAAUGGCUCAUUACAACGGUUAUGAUGUACCCGGGAGUUCCGAUGGAUAUUUCCAGUAACACUAGAACUAAUACAUGUCCCUGCGUUUAUUAGUUUCGCACAGUCCGUCGCUGAGUCAUGGUAAACAGUUGAUCGACUCGACGUCCCGGAACAGUUUCCGCCCCAUCAGCUUCGAUGGUUGGGUAUUGGCCUACCAUUGCAACAACGGGUAACGAGGAAUUAGGGUUUGAUUUCGGAGAGGGAGCCUGAGAAACGGCUACCACAUCUACGGAUGGCAGCAGGCGCGCAAAUUACCCAAUGCAGGCACUGUGAGGUAGUGACGAGAAAUAAUAAAGCGGGACUUCUGUUUCGCUAUUAUAAUGAGGAAUAACCAAAGGUCAUUCCGAUUAGCAACUGAUGGGAAAGUCUGGUGCCAGCAGCCGCGGUAAUACCAGCGUCAGUAGCAU